CGGGGGGAGCAAGCGUUGUUCGGAUUUACUGGGCGUAAAGGGCGCGUAGGCGGCCUCUGCAAGUCGACUGUGAAAUCUCCGGGCUUAACCCGGAACGGUCAGCCGAUACUGCAGGGCUAGAGUGCAGAAGGGGCAACUGGAAUUCUCGGUGUAGCGGUGAAAUGCGUAGAUAUCGAGAGGAACACCUGCGGCGAAGGCGGGUUGCUGGGCUGACACUGACGCUGAGGCGCGAAAGCUAGGGGAGCGAACGGGAUUAGAUACCCCGGUAGUCCUAGCCUUAAACGAUGAAUGCUUGGUGUCUGGGGUUUAUAGUCCCCGGGUGCCGUCGCUAACGCUUUAAGCAUUCCGCCUGGGGAGUACGGUCGCAAGACUG
RNAcentral lists this ribosomal RNA (373 nucleotides) under uncultured organism. RNAcentral describes it as "bacterial SSU rRNA". It matches the Rfam family "Bacterial small subunit ribosomal RNA", at positions 526 to 896 of the family's 1533-position model. The record is from RNAcentral.